RNAcentral lists this non-coding RNA (77 nucleotides) under Geobacter pickeringii. RNAcentral describes it as "c-di-GMP sequence". It matches the Rfam family "c-di-GMP-I riboswitch aptamer". Rfam says of the family: GEMM was predicted in a large-scale screen for bacterial structured RNA regulatory elements. Genes associated with GEMM are involved in a diverse array of functions, including chemotaxis regulation, signal transduction, secretion and chitin. The record is from Rfam by way of RNAcentral. Lineage: Bacteria; Pseudomonadati; Thermodesulfobacteriota; Desulfuromonadia; Geobacterales; Geobacteraceae.
AGACGACAAUACUAAACCAUCCGCGAGGGUGGGGCGGAAAGCCCAGAGGGUCUCACCGAGAUAGCCGGGUUGCCGAA